GGUCAGGAUGAACGCUGGCGGCGUGCCUAACACAUGCAAGGUCGAACGGGGUUACUGGCAGCGGAGAUUCGGUCAAAGCAGCCUUUAACCAGUGGCGGACGGGUGAGUAACGCGUGGGGAACCUGCCCUGUACUGGGGGGUAACAGUGAGAAAUCACUGCUAAUACCGCAUAAGCGCACAGCAUCGCAUGAUGCAGUGUGAAAAACUGAGGUGGUACAGGAUGGCUCCGCGUUGGAUUAGCCAGUUGGCGGGUAACGGCCCACCAAAGCGACGAUCCAUAGCCGGCCUGAGAGGGUGAACGGCCACAUUGGGACUGAGACACGGCCCAGACUCCUACGGGAGGCAGCAGUGGGGAAUAUUGCACAAUGGGGGAAACCCUGAUGCAGCCGACGCCGCGUGAAGGAAGAAGUAUCUCGGUAUGUAAACUUCUAUCAGCAGGGAAGAUGAUGACGGUACCUGACUAAGAAGCCCCGGCUAACUACGUGCCAGCAGCCGC
Molecule: ribosomal RNA, 496 nt
Filed under: uncultured bacterium
Lineage: Bacteria
Description: bacterial SSU rRNA
Rfam family: Bacterial small subunit ribosomal RNA
Source: RNAcentral